RNAcentral lists this ribosomal RNA (493 nucleotides) under uncultured bacterium. RNAcentral's name for it is "partial 16S ribosomal RNA". It matches the Rfam family "Bacterial small subunit ribosomal RNA", at positions 28 to 507 of the family's 1533-position model. The record is from RNAcentral.
GACGAACGCUGGCGGCGUGCUUAACACAUGCAAGUCGAACGGUGAAGCGCCUUCCUUUUUGGUGGGUGUGGAUGAGUGGCGAACGGGUGAGUAACACGUGAGUAACCUGCCCCCUUCUUCUGGAUAACCGCAUGAAAGUGUGGCUAAUACGGGAUAUUCUGGGUCUGUCGCAUGAUGGGUCUGGGAAAGAUAUUGUUUCGGUGGGGGAUGGGCUCGCGGCCUAUCAGCUUGUUGGUGGGGUGAUGGCCUACCAAGGCGGUGACGGGUAGCCGGCCUGAGAGGGUGGACGGUCACACUGGGACUGAGACACGGCCCAGACUCCUACGGGAGGCAGCAGGGGGGAAUAUUGCACAAUGGGCGCAAGCCUGAGGCAGCGACGCCGCGUGAGGGAUGGAGGCCUUCGGGUUGUGAACCUCUUUCGCCAGUGAAGCAGGCCUGCCUCGUUUGUGGGUGGGUUGACGGUAGCUGGAUAGAAGCGCCGGCUAACUACGUG